AGCGGCGGACGGGUGAGUAACACGUGGGCAACCUGCCUGUAAGACUGGGAUAACUUCGGGAAACCGAAGCUAAUACCGGAUAGGAUCUUCUCCUUCAUGGGAGAUGAUUGAAAGAUGUUUCGGCUAUCACUUACAGAUGGGCCCGCGGUGCAUUAGCUAGUUGGUGAGGUAACGGCUCACCAAGGCACGAUGCAUAGCCGACCUGAGAGGGUGAUCGGCCACACUGGGACUGAGACACGGCCCAGACUCCUACGGAGGCAGCAGUAGGGAAUCUUCCGCAAUGGACGAAAGUCUGACGGAGCAACGCCGCGUGAGUGAUGAAGGUUUCGGGUCGUAAAACUCUGUUGUUAGGGAAGAACAAGUACAAGAGUAACUGCUUGUACCUUGACGGUACUAACCAGAAAGCCACGGCUAACUACGUGCCAGCAGCCGCGGUAAUACGUAGGUGGCAAGCGUUAUCCGGAAUUAUUGGGCGUAAAGCGCGCGCACGGUUUCUUAAGUCUGAUGUGAAAGCCCACGGCUCAACCGUGGAGGGUCAUUGGAAACUGGGGAACUUGAGUGCAGAAGAGAAAAGCGGAAUUCCACGUGUAGCGGUGAA
Molecule: ribosomal RNA, 598 nt
Filed under: uncultured Bacillus sp.
Lineage: Bacteria; Bacillati; Bacillota; Bacilli; Caryophanales; Bacillaceae
Description: bacterial SSU rRNA
Rfam family: Bacterial small subunit ribosomal RNA
Source: RNAcentral